UACGGAGGGUGCAAGCGUUAAUCGGAAUUACUGGGCGUAAAGCGUGCGCAGGCGGUUUGUUAAGUCCGUUGUGAAAGCCCCGAGCUCAACUUGGGAAUUGCAGUGGAUACUGGCAGGCUGGAGUACAGUAGAGGAAGGUGGAAUUCCCGGUGUAGCAGUGAAAUGCGUAGAGAUCGGGAGGAACACCAGUGGCGAAGGCGGCCUUCUGGACCAAUACUGACGCUCAUGCACGAAAGCGUGGGGAGCAAACAGG
Molecule: ribosomal RNA, 253 nt
Filed under: uncultured bacterium
Lineage: Bacteria
Description: partial 16S ribosomal RNA
Rfam family: Bacterial small subunit ribosomal RNA
Source: RNAcentral